This 68-nucleotide transfer RNA is filed under the name Podarcis lilfordi (Lilford's wall lizard). RNAcentral describes it as "tRNA.Ala". The record is from RNAcentral. Lineage: Eukaryota; Metazoa; Chordata; Lepidosauria; Squamata; Lacertidae.
GUCAUGGCUCAGUGGUAGCACAUCUGCUUGGCAUGUAGAAGGUCCAGGUUCAAUCUCUGGUAGCAUCU